UAAGCACCUUUAAGACCAGACUGGAUGCAGUAUGAACGGGAGGGAUCAGGGUAGAGGAAGGACGGGGAUAUAAACCAACUAUGCAAGGCUUUGCUGCUCGCACAGAGACGGGCGUAACAGCAGGUAAGACCAGUCUGUAGAAACAGAGAUGAGGAGGGAGACAGGUCUAGCAGGUAGAGGAAGGUGGAAGAUGAGGAGGGAGACAGGUCUAGCAGGUAGAGGAAGGUGGAAGAUGAGGAGGGAGACAGGUCUAGCAGGUAGAGGAAGGUGGAAGAUGAGGAGGGAGACAGGUCUAUCAGGUAGAGGAAGGUGGAAGAUGAGGAGGGAGACAGGUCUAGCAGGUAGAGGAAGGUGGAAGAUGAGGAGGGAGACAGGUCUAUCAGGUAGAGGAAGGUGGAAGAUGAGGAGGGAGACAGGUCUAGCAGGUAGAGGAAGGUGGAAGAUGAGGGAGACAGGUCUAUCAGGUAGAGGAAGGUGGAAGAUGAGGAGGGAGACAGGUCUAGCAGGUAGAGGAAGGUGGAAGAUGAGGAGGGAGACAGGUCUAUCAGGUAGAGGAAGGUGGAAGAUGAGGAGGGAGACAGGUCUAGCAGGUAGAGGAAGGUGGAAGAUGAGGAGGGAGACAGGUCUAGCAGGUAGAGGAAGGUGGAAGAUGAGGAGGGAGACAGGUCUAGCAGG
Oncorhynchus keta (chum salmon) is the source of this 675-nucleotide long non-coding RNA. RefSeq lists it as uncharacterized. The transcript is spliced from 4 exons. The record is from RefSeq and is a predicted model, not a curated record. NCBI's taxonomy places the organism in Eukaryota, Metazoa, Chordata, Actinopteri, Salmoniformes, Salmonidae.